RNAcentral lists this ribosomal RNA (468 nucleotides) under uncultured bacterium. Its description in RNAcentral is "partial 16S ribosomal RNA". It matches the Rfam family "Bacterial small subunit ribosomal RNA", at positions 28 to 507 of the family's 1533-position model. The record is from RNAcentral.
GACGAACGCUGGCGGCGUGCUUAACACAUGCAAGUCGAACGGAAAGGCCCUGCUUUUGUGGGGUGCUCGAGUGGCGAACGGGUGAGUAACACGUGAGUAGCCUGCCCUUGACUUUGGGAUAACUUCAGGAAACUGGGGCUAAUACCGGAUAGGAGCUCCUGCUGCAUGGUGGGGGUUGGAAAGUUUCGGCGGUUGGGGAUGGACCCGCGGCUUAUCAGCUUGUUGGUGGGGUAGUGGCUUACCAAGGCUUUGACGGGUAGCCGGCCUGAGAGGGUGACCGGCCACAUUGGGACUGAGAUACGGCCCAGACUCCUACGGGAGGCAGCAGUGGGGAAUAUUGCACAAUGGGCGGAAGCCUGAUGCAGCAACGCCGCGUGCGGGAUGACGGCCUUCGGGUUGUAAACCGCUUUCGCCUGUGACGAAGCGUGAGUGACGGUAAUGGGUAAAGAAGCACCAGCUAACUACGUG